RNAcentral lists this small nuclear RNA (107 nucleotides) under Cricetulus griseus (Chinese hamster). Lineage: Eukaryota; Metazoa; Chordata; Mammalia; Rodentia; Cricetidae. The record is from RNAcentral.
UAAAAUAUGGAACACUUCACGAAUUUGCGUGUCAUCCUUGUGCAGGGGCCAUGCUAAUCUUCUCUGUAUGGUUCCAAUUUUAGUAUAUGUGCUGCCGAAAUGAGCAU